Molecule: ribosomal RNA, 286 nt
Filed under: uncultured bacterium
Lineage: Bacteria
Description: partial 16S ribosomal RNA
Rfam family: Bacterial small subunit ribosomal RNA
Source: RNAcentral
GAUGAACGCUGGCGGCGUGCCUAAUACAUGCAAGUCGAACGCACAGCGAAAGGUGCUUGCACCUUUCAAGUGAGUGGCGAACGGGUGAGUAACACGUGGAUAACCUACCUCAAGGUUGGGGAUAACAUUUGGAAACAGAUGCUAAUACCGAAUAAAACUUCGUAUCGCAUGAUACAAGGUUAAAAGGCGCUACGGCGUCACCUAGAGAUGGAUCCGCGGUGCAUUAGUUAGUUGGUGGGUAAAGGCUACAGACAAUGAUGCAUAGCCGAGUUGAGAGACUGAUCGG